Molecule: ribosomal RNA, 332 nt
Filed under: uncultured eukaryote
Lineage: Eukaryota
Description: partial 18S ribosomal RNA
Rfam family: Eukaryotic small subunit ribosomal RNA
Source: RNAcentral
CCCUUAGAUGUUCUGGGCUGCACACGUGCUACACUGGCAGGUUCAGCGAGCUUCAUGCCCUGAUCUGAAAGGAAUGGGAAAUCUUUUCAAAACCUGCCGUGCUUGGGAUAGAUGUUUGCAAUUAUUCAUCUUCAACGAGGAUUGCCUUGUAAGCGCACGUCAUCAGCGUGCAUUGAAUACGACCCUGUAUUCUGUACACACCGCCCGUCGCUCCUACCGAUUGAAGUUUUCGGUGAGUUGACAGGAGGAUUUUUUUGAAACUGGUUCGCCAGUGGAUUUUAGAUCCAAAUGCCAACGAAUCGAUGCCUUUAGAGGAAGGAGAAGUCGUAACA